Molecule: ribosomal RNA, 253 nt
Filed under: uncultured bacterium
Lineage: Bacteria
Description: partial 16S ribosomal RNA
Rfam family: Bacterial small subunit ribosomal RNA
Source: RNAcentral
UACAGAGGUCCCAAGCGUUACUGAGAAUCACUGGGUUUAAAGGGUGCGUAGGUGGUCCGUUAAGUCCGUUGUGAAAUCCCCGAGCUCAACUCGGGAACUGCUUCGGAUACUGGCGGACUUGAGGCCAGUAGAGGUCACUGGAACUGACGGUGGAGCGGUGAAAUGCGUAGAUAUCGUCAGGAACGCCGGUGGUGAAGACGGGUGACUGGGCUGGUUCUGACACUGAGGCACGAAAGCGUGGGGAGCGAACGGG